Molecule: long non-coding RNA, 761 nt
Filed under: Vulpes vulpes (red fox)
Lineage: Eukaryota; Metazoa; Chordata; Mammalia; Carnivora; Canidae
Description: lncRNA (ENSVVUG00000024195.1)
Source: RNAcentral
UGACACUAUUCUUCAGCACCUUAUUUCUCCAGUUCCAUUUUAUUAGCAGUGUUUCUCUGUAUCUUGCUGGAAGCAUCUGCUCUUUCAUCAUCUAGUGUUUAUUUUACCUGAAAGGGGAAAACAUGGUACAUCCUCCUCUCCUGUAACCACUAUCAUGAUGUCUCACAAAUGGUGAUACCGUUAGUUUCUUUAGGGUUAUUUUCUUUAUGAUCCACUCUUUUCCCCCGAGGAUGGAGGAAGAAAGAAGAAGGAAAAAAGAUGGCAGUGAAUGGCAACUGAGAAGAAAUGAGCAUUGGAGAGAGGGAAAGAGUGGAAGAUAUAGCAGACUAGAUUCUGCACAUCUCCUACCAAGAACAACAGGAAGUACCAUCUGUUUGAAGAUAUCAGAAUACUAAUAAAACAAUGAGAAUUGGAGGACAUAUGAUUUUAUAACAGAGGAAAGUGCAAAGAAGAGACUUUAGGAUUUAACUCUAUUUUUCCCCUGAAACAUUUGCAAGUGUUUAAGUAACAGUCUAGAUGUUGUAAGGUGAGAGAGCUUUCAACAGUCUUACUAGGGUAGGAGUUUCCAAAGGGGAAGGAGCUGUGGUAAACAUCUGUGUUUUUCUGUUUGGAACCUUGAAAGGCUGGCUACUCCUUGGAACUCAGAGUGAAAUGUAAAUAGAAUAAGCCUGCACAAAGAUUCAAAUUCAAGCUAUUUAUUAGUGCAAUUCCAGAUUGGAUUAAAUUGAAAUGUCUAUAUUCUACAUGUCCUAACAUCAAAU